RNAcentral lists this ribosomal RNA (492 nucleotides) under uncultured bacterium. Its description in RNAcentral is "partial 16S ribosomal RNA". It matches the Rfam family "Bacterial small subunit ribosomal RNA", at positions 29 to 507 of the family's 1533-position model. The record is from RNAcentral.
AGUGAACGCUGGCGGUAGGCCUAACACAUGCAAGUCGAACGGCAGCACAGUAAGCGCUUGCUCUUACGGGUGGCGAGUGGCGGACGGGUGAGGAAUACAUCGGCAUCUACUUUUUCUUGGGGGAUAACGUAGGGAAACUUACGCUAAUACCUCAUACGACCUACGGGUUAAAGCAGGGGAUCUUCGGACCUUGCGCGAUUGAAUGAGCCGAUGUCGGAUUAGCUAGUUGGCGGGGUAAAGGCCCACCAAGGCGACGAUCCGUAGCUGGUCUGAGAGGAUGAUCAGCCACACUGGAACUGAGACACGGUCCAGACUCCUACGGGAGGCAGCAGUGGGGAAUAUUGGACAAUGGGCGAAAGCCUGAUCCAGCAAUACCGCGUGGGUGAAGAAGGCCUUCGGGUUGUAAAGCCCUUUUGUUGGGAAAGAAAAGAAGCAGGUUAAUACACCGAUGUUCUGACGGUACCUAAAGAAUAAGCAACGGCUAACUUCGUG